Molecule: ribosomal RNA, 250 nt
Filed under: uncultured prokaryote
Description: partial 16S ribosomal RNA
Rfam family: Bacterial small subunit ribosomal RNA
Source: RNAcentral
UACGUAGGGGGCAAGCGUUAUCCGGAUUUACUGGGUGUAAAGGGAGCGUAGACGGCGAAGCAAGUCUGAAGUGAAAGGACGGGGCCCAACCCCGGAACUGCUUUGGAAACUAUUUGACUAGAGUACGGGAGGGGUAAGCGGAAUUCCUAGUGUAGCGGUGAAAUGCGUAGAUAUUAGGAGGAACACCGGUGGCGAAGGCGGCUUACUGGACCGUAACUGACGUUGAGGCUCGAAGGCGUGGGGAACAAAC